AUCGGUGGUGGCUAUAGUGCAGCCGCGGCCGGCCCCUCGCCGCCCACGCUGGAGGUCCCCGCGCGGCCUCCCACGGCCACGGCCGCCCUGCUCUCACCUCGCCCUGCUCUCACCUCGCCCUGCGGCGGCUGGCGGGACGUGUGUCCGCCGACCCGCUGGCUGGGCAGAGAUCCCCAGAUACAUAUUUUGCUCCAUGUGGCUUGUUGAACUCAGAAGAGGACCCUCUCUUGGAACGAUCUGUACUCCUAUCACCCUGGUCCCAGUGGAGCAACUACUAAGAGAUGGGCAAUCGCUGAGCUACAGCAGAGCUAAAUGGACUGCAACAGGGAGAUGUGGACUUCUAAACGCCAUCUUGUAACUCUGAAGUGCCCUGCUGGUCUUUCCAAAUUAGAAGACACAACACGUAACAAAAUAACUUGAAACAAUUCCAUUAAAGAAAUAUUAUCUUCUCUUGUCUCUUUUGCUGUGAUUGACUGAAGUACUUCACCUACACUUCUGUAUGGCAACAGUUCUCAAAUUUAACUGUCAUUGCUCAUGUAUACUACUGCCAUCACAGGCUCCCUAACCAUGUUCAGUGCCCUCAGAGACUCUUCUACAUGCAAGAAGUGGCAAAAAUUUGUGUCUUAGUGUGUCGACACCACAGCAAGCACUCAGCUCAGGAAAUCAGAGUUCCAGGGAGCUCUUAAAUCCUUUUCACCAGAGCAUUUCACUACCAGAAUGAGAGCAUUAAGACUUUACCACAAAGAAGAAACACUAAGAAAUACAUGUCAAACACUGAAUCUAAAAUGGCAGAAAACAUGCAACUCUAGGAAGCUUGGAAGCUUACCAAACUGCUUAUUGAUAUUUGAAGCACAGGCAAGGGUCCUUCUUUUUGGAUAAUCACAUUGAAGACAGCUUGGAUUAUGGAGCUACACUAGGUGAAUAAGAGAAGCAAAUUUGAUUAUCUGAAUUUAGCCCAAUUUUCUGGUAAGUUAUUCAAAAGAUUUGU
Molecule: long non-coding RNA, 988 nt
Organism: Aquila chrysaetos chrysaetos
Lineage: Eukaryota; Metazoa; Chordata; Aves; Accipitriformes; Accipitridae
Exons: 4
Source: RefSeq, a predicted model, not a curated record